GUCCUUUUUGAAAUUUAUUUAAGGUCUAACCUGCCCAAUGAAAAUUUAAAUGGCCGCAGUAUAUUGACUGUGCAAAGGUAGCAUAAUCAUUAGUUUUUUAAUUAAAAGCUUGUAUGAAGGGUUGGACGAGAUAAAAUCUGUCUUAAUUUAAUUUAUUUUAGAAUUUAAUUUUUAAGUUAAAAAGCUUAAAUUUUAUUAAAAGACGAGAAGACCCUAUAGAUCUUAAUAUUUUUUAUAAUAUUAUUAUUUUAGAAUUAUAAAUUUAUUAUUAUUUAAAGUAUUUUAUUGGGGUAAUAUAAAGAUUUAAGUAAUUCUUUAUAAUUUUUUACAUUAAUUUAUGAUUAUUUGAUCCAUUAUUAUUGAUUAUAAGAUUAAGUUACCUUAGGGAUAACAGCGUAAUUUUUUUAAAGAGUUCAUAUCGAUAAAAAAGUUUGCGACCUCGAUGUUGGAUUAAAAAUUAUCUUAGGUGCAGGAGUUUAGGAUUUUGGUCUGUUCGACCAUUAAAUUUUU
Molecule: ribosomal RNA, 510 nt
Filed under: Onychohydrus larva
Lineage: Eukaryota; Metazoa; Arthropoda; Insecta; Coleoptera; Dytiscidae
Description: partial 16S ribosomal RNA
Rfam family: Bacterial large subunit ribosomal RNA (bases 387-510)
Source: RNAcentral